This 394-nucleotide ribosomal RNA is filed under the name uncultured bacterium. Its description in RNAcentral is "bacterial SSU rRNA". It matches the Rfam family "Bacterial small subunit ribosomal RNA", at positions 30 to 418 of the family's 1533-position model. The record is from RNAcentral.
AGUGAACGCUGGCGGCAGGCCUAACACAUGCAAGUCGAACGGCAGCACGGCAGUAGCAAUACUGUGGGUGGCGAGUGGCGGACGGGUGAGGAAUACAUCGGGAUCUACCCUGUUGUGGGGGAUAACGUAGGGAAACUUACGCUAAUACCGCAUAAGAACUGAGGUUGAAAGCGGCGGACCGCAAGGCGUCGCGCGAUUGGAUGAACCGAUGUCCGAUUAGCUAGUUGGCGGGGUAAAGGCCCACCAAGGCGACGAUCGGUAGCUGGUCUGAGAGGACGACUAGCCACACUGGAACUGAGACACGGUCCAGACUCCUACGGGAGGCAGCAGUGGGGAAUAUUGGACAAUGGGCGCAAGCCUGAUCCAGCCAUGCCGCGUGGGUGAAGAAGGCCUC